UGGGGAAUUUUGGACAAUGGGGGCAACCCUGAUCCAGCAAUGCCGCGUGAGUGAAGAAGGCCUUCGGGUUGUAAAGCUCUUUUGUCAGGGAAGAAACAGCAGCUCUAACACAGUCUGCGAAUGACGGUACCUGAAGAAUAAGCACCGGCUAACUACGUGCCAGCAGCCGCGGUAAUACGUAGGGUGCAAGCGUUAAUCGGAAUUACUGGGCGUAAAGCGUGCGCAGGCGGUUAUGUAAGACAGGCGUGAAAUCCCCGGGCUUAACCUGGGAAUUGCGCUUGUGACUGCAUAGCUAGAGUAUGUCAGAGGGGGGUAGAAUUCCACGUGUAGCAGUGAAAUGCGUAGAGAUGUGGAGGAAUACCAAUGGCGAAGGCAGCCCCCUGGG
RNAcentral lists this ribosomal RNA (385 nucleotides) under uncultured bacterium. RNAcentral's name for it is "bacterial SSU rRNA". It matches the Rfam family "Bacterial small subunit ribosomal RNA", at positions 355 to 733 of the family's 1533-position model. The record is from RNAcentral.